RNAcentral lists this ribosomal RNA (543 nucleotides) under Hansenula anomala. RNAcentral describes it as "Wickerhamomyces anomalus partial large subunit ribosomal RNA". It matches the Rfam family "Eukaryotic large subunit ribosomal RNA", at positions 99 to 655 of the family's 3401-position model. Lineage: Eukaryota; Fungi; Ascomycota; Saccharomycetes; Phaffomycetales; Wickerhamomycetaceae. The record is from RNAcentral.
CGGCAAAAGCUCAAAUUUGAAAUCUAGCACCUUCGGUGUUUGAGUUGUAAUUUGAAGAUGGUAACCUUGGGUUUGGCUCUUGUCUAUGUUCCUUGGAACAGGACGUCAUAGAGGGUGAGAAUCCCGUCUGAUGAGAUGCCCAUUCCUAUGUAAGGUGCUAUCGAAGAGUCGAGUUGUUUGGGAAUGCAGCUCUAAGUGGGUGGUAAAUUCCAUCUAAAGCUAAAUAUUGGCGAGAGACCGAUAGCGAACAAGUACAGUGAUGGAAAGAUGAAAAGAACUUUGAAAAGAGAGUGAAAAAGUACGUGAAAUUGUUGAAAGGGAAGGGCAUUAGAUCAGACUUGGUGUUUUACGAUUAUCUUCUCUUCUUGAGUUGUGCACUCGUAUUUCACUGGGCCAGCAUCGAUUCGGAUGGCAAGAUAAUGGCAGUUGAAUGUGGCUUCACUUCGGUGGAGUGUUAUAGCUUCUGCUGAUAUUGCCUGUCUGGAUCGAGGGCUGCGUCUUUUGACUAGGAUGCUGGCGUAAUGAUCUAAUGCCGCCCGUCUU